GAUACGUGUGUGUGCAUAUGAAGUAACCUUAUUAUCUAUUUUUUUAGCAUGUAUUAUUAAAAGAGACAUUUGAAAAACUCACAAGAUGUUUCUAUUUAUUUUGAUUCUAGACAGAUUUUGGGAAGUUUCAACUUAGACGAUAUGUUCAAAAUAAAAAUACAUUGCAAAUUUCCAUGUUCUAAACUAAUUACAACAAAAGCACAAUUUAGGAGAAUUGAGGGUAGGGGAAAUUAAAUGAAUUAUAAGCUUCAUUAAGCAUAAUUUGAUCAUUGAGUAUACUGAAUUAGAUUUUUACAUUUUUAUUCUUUCUGAUCUAGAUCAAUAUGUCUUGAUCAUCAGUGUGUGUGUGUGUGUGUGUGUGUAUGAUCACCAAUGGUUUUUGUCAUUUUGGAAUGUCAUGUAAAAGGGAAAUGACAGUACCAGACAAACUAUUAUAUGUGUACCAGAGAGUACACAAAAAUUGGCAUUGACUUAUUCACUGAAUCCUCACAGUGAGCGACAUAAAUCAAAACUCCCUGUGACAGUAGGGAAAGGCUGGUAACUUUUAGUAGGAAAUUGAUACAGGUAUGCCUUUCAGAGAAUGAGAGGAGAUUCUUUCCACGGUGCUAUCUACAGUAACUACUUGCAGGGAUGUUGUUCCUUAAUGAAAGGUUUCUUUUAAGAUAUAUGUACCUUUUGUAAUGCUAACAGAAUUGAUGAUGGGAACUGAAAACCUAAGAUGGACUGAUGAACAGAUUGGUUUGCAAACACCUCUUAUGGGUAGAAAAAUGUAGGUAUAACAUAAUUUUUUACUGUAAUGAAUUAUUAUUAUUUGCAAGAAUACAUGACUUUUUUCUUUCUUUCUUUCUUUUUUUUUUUUUUUUUUUGAGACAAGGUCUCCCUUUGUCGCCCAGGCUGGAGUGCAGUGGCGCUAUCUCCUCUCACUGCAAGCUCCACCUCCGGGGUUCCCGCCAUUCUCCUGCCUCAGCCUCCCGAGUAGCUGGGACUACAGGCGCCCACCACCACGGCAGGCUAAUUUUUUGUAUUUUUUUAGUAAAGACGGGAUUUCACCAUGUUGGCCAGGGUGGUCUCGAUCUCUUGACGUCGUAAUCCGCCCGUCUCGGCCUCCCAAAGUGCUGGGAUUACACGUGUGAGCCACUGAGCCCGGCCGACUUUUUCCUUACCCAUUUUUUUCUUCUGCAUGAGGAGGCUACAAUCCUUUCAUUUGAAGAUCCUGUACUUUCCUCACUUGAAGCAGUCACUCUUCUUCAUGAUAUUCAUUUCAUCCCUUCUUGUUACUUCCAAACCGGCCGCCCCGUCUGAGAAGUGAGGAGCCCCUCCACCCGGCAGCCGCCCCGUCCAGGAAGUGAGGAGCAUCUCCGCCUGGCAGCCGCCCCGUCCGGGAGGAAGGUAGGGGGUCAGCCCCCGCCCGGUCGCCGCCCCGUCCGGGAGGUAGGGGGCGCCUCUGCCCAGCCACCCCUUCUGGGAAGUGAGGAGCCCCUCUGCCCGGCCACCACCCCGUCAGGGAGGUGUACCCAACAGCUCAUUGAGAACAGGCCAUGAUGACGAUGGCGGUUUUGUGGAAUAGAAAAGGAGGAAAGGUGGGGAAAAGAUAGAGAAAUCAGAUUGUUGCUGUGUCUGUGUACAAAGAAGUAGACAUAGGAGACUCCAUUUUGUUCUGUACUGGGAGAGGUUCUUCUGCCUUGGGAUGCUGUUGAUCUGUGACCCUGCCCCCAACCCUGUGCUCUCUGGGGCAUGUGCUGUGUCCACUCAGGGUUGAAUGAAUUAAGGGCGGUGCAACAUGUGCUUUGUUAAACAGAUGCUUGAAGGCAGCAUGCUCCUUAAGAGUCAUCACCACUCCCUAAUCUCAAAUACUCAGGGACACAAACACUGCGGAAGGCCGCAGGGUCCUCUGCCUAGGAAAACCAGAGACCUUUGUUCCCUUGUUUAUCUGCUAACCUUCCCUCCACUAUUGUCCUGUGACCCUGCCAAAUCCCCCUCUGAGAGAAACACCCAAGAAUAAUCAAUUAAAAAAAAAAAAAAAAAGCGAGAAAAAAAGAAACAGCUGUAGGAACUGAAAGUGUUUAGCUCAGAUGUGACUAAGGGGUAUCAAUUGGUGUCUUCAAGUAUUGUGGCUCUCGUAGAUAAGAGAAUGAAAAACACAAAAAAGAAAAAAGAAAAAAGUUUUAAAAAGAGAGAAUGAAGUAAUUUAAUUACACUAGAGCCUAGGUGCAAUGAGAAGUUAGCCAGCAGGCAAAUUUAAAUAAAUACUGAAGGGCUGGGCGCUGUGGCUCAGGUCUGUAAUCCCAGCACUUUGGGAGGCCAAGGUGGGUGGAUCAAUUGAGGUCAGUUUGAGACCAGCCUGGCCAACAUGGUGAAACCCCGUCUCUACUAAAAAUACAAAAAUUAGCCGGGUGUGAUGGUGGGCGCCUGUGGUCCCAGCUACUCGGGAGGCUAAGGCAGGAGAAUCACUUGAACUCAGGAGGUGGAGGCUACAGUGAGCCAAGAUCACACCACUGCACUCUAGCCUGGACAGCAGAGCAAGACUCCAUCUCAGAAAUAGAAAAUACAAAAUAAAUAAAUAUUGAAAACAAAAAACAAAACAAAACAAAGAAAUGAAGGGGAGGUUAAAAAAAUUCAAAACAAGCAAAAAACUGAAGGAGUUCAUCACCAUGAAACUACUCUUAUGAGAAAUGCUAAAGGAAGUUUUCACAUUAAAACAAAAUAAUGAUAAGCAACAAUAUGAAGCAUAUGAAAGUAUAAAACUCACUGGCAAAGGUAAAUAUAUAGUCAAAUUCAGAAUACUCUAAUAUUAUAAAGGUAGUCUGUAAAUCACUCUUUUGUGUAAGAGUUAAAAACAAAAUUCAUUUUUUAAAAAAGCUAUGAUUGAUUAACAGAUACAAAAUAUACAUCCAUAGCAUGAUAUUAAUAGCAUAAAAUGUUAAAGUAAAAUACAACAUCAAUAGCAUAGCCUGUGGAGGAAAAGAAUUAAAAGUGCAGUGUCUUGUAUGCAAUUGAAGUUAAGUCACUGUCAGCUUAAAUUAGGGUAUUAUAAUAUGACGGUGUUUUAUGUAAGUCUCAGGGUAGCCAUAAAGCAAAAACUUCAGCAGGGUGUGGUGGCUCAUGCCUGUAACCCCAGCACUUUGGGAGGCUGAGACGGGAGGAUCACAAGGUCAGGAGUUUGAGACCAGCCUGACCAAUAUGGUGAAACCCCAUCUCUACUUAAAAUACAAAAAUUAGCCAGGCAUGGUGCAUGUGCCUGUAAUCCCAGCUACUCAGGAAGCUGAGGCAGGACAAUCACAUGAACCCGGGUGGCAGAGGUUGCAAUGAGCUGAGAUAGUGCCACUGCAUUCCAGCCUGAGCGACAGAAUGAGGCACUGUCUCAAAAAAAAACAAAAACAAAAACAAAACAAAAACUACUAAAUACACAAAAUACAGAGAGAAAGAAAUAAAUUAUACCACUACAAGAUUAAAACAAAUCAUAAACAAAUACAGCCAGAGUGAAAUAAAGGAACAAAAUAAUUUCAAAACAUUUAGUCUAAAUGUAAAUGGAUUAAAUUCUCAAUUUAAAAGCCACAGAGAAGAUGAAUGGAUUAAAAAAAAUUAAAAAAUGAAAAACCAAAGAUCUAUCAAAACACUGCCUACAACAGACUCACGUUAGCCAUUAGAACAAACAUAAGGCCAGAUUCAGUGACUUAUACCUAUAACUCUAGCAUUUGGAGACACUGAGAGAGGAGGAUUGCUUGAGGCCAGGAGUUGAGACUAGUGUGGGCAACAUAGCAAGACCCUAUCUCUACAAAAAAAAAUUUAAGUUAGCCAGCCAUGGUUGUGCAUGCCGAUAGUCCCCACUACUCAGGAGACAGAGGCAAGAGGAUAGCUUGAUCCCAGAAGUUUGAGGCUACAGUGAGUUCUAAACAUGCUACUGAACUCCAGCCUGGACAAUAUAGCAAGAUCCUGUCUCUUUAAAAAAUUUGUUCUAACAAUAAACAUAGAUUGAGAGUGAAGGUAAGGAAAACAUAUUUUAGGCAAAUGAUAAUCAAAAGCGAGCAGGCGUGGCUACACUUAGACAAAAUCGACUUAAAGUCAGAAACAGUAAACAGAGACAAGGAAAGUCAACAUAUAAUGAUAAAGGGGUCAAUUUAGCAAGAGGAUAUAAGAGUUUUUAAUAUAUAUGCACCUACAUCAGAGCACCUAUACAUAUAAAGCAAAUACUAAUAGAUCUGAAGGGUUAGAUAGACUGCAAUAUAAUAAUAUUAUAUAUAGAUAGAAUACAUGAUAGAAUACAUCAAGAAGAAAUAGAAAUCUAAACAGACCAUAGUAGGAGACUUCAGUACUCCACAUUCAACAUUGCGUAGAUCAUCCAGACAGAGAAUCAUUGGAAAAAUAGUGGAACUGAAUAACACUUUGGAUGUAGACCUAAUUGACAUACAUAGAAUAUUCCAUCCAACUGAAACAGAAUACAUCUUUUUUUAACGACACAUGGAAUAUUUUCCGCAAUAGAUUAUACAUUAGGCCACAAAACAAGUCUUAACACAUGUAAGAAGAUUAAGAUCAUACCAAGUAUUUUUUUCUGACUCUAAUGGAAUGAAAAUAGAAAUCAGUAACAGGAGAAAUAUUAGAAAGUUUACAAAUAUACGGAAAUAAAACAACAUGCUUCUGCAACACCAAAGGUGAAAGAAGAAAUUGAAAGGGACAUCAAAAAAUCCUGAGACAAACAAAAGUAAAAACACAACAUACUAAAACUUUGGAGAUGCAGCAAUAGCAGUUCUGAGAAGGAAGUAUACAGCAAUAAAUGCCUACAUAAAAAAAGAAGAGAAACCAAAUAAGCGAUUUAAUAGUACACCUCCAGGAACUAUAAAAGAAAGAUAAAUUAUACUCAAAAUCAUUAGAAAGAAGGAGCGCAUAAAGAUUAAUGAAAUAGGGAGUAGAAAAACAAUAGAAAUAUCAACAAUAAAAAGAAAUGGUUUUUUGAAAAGAUAAACAUAAUUGACAAAACAUUAGCCAGAUUAACUACAAAAAGAGAGAAGACUCAAGUAAAUAAAAUCAGAAAUGAAAUAGGAGAAAUUACUACUGAUAUCACAAAAUUACAAAGGAUCAUGAGUGACCAUUAUGAAUGAUUAUACACCCACAGAUUGGGUAAACUAGAAGUGGAUAAAUUCCUAUAAACGUAUAACUUAGUAAGAAUACAUUAAGAAGAAAUAGAAAUCUAAACAGACCAAUAAUUAGUAAAGAGAUUAAAUCAAUAAUAAUAAUAAACAAUUCUCAUCAAAGAAAAGCUUAGGACCAGAUGGCUUCAUGGUAGAAUUUUACCAAACAUUUAAAGACUAAUUCAUAGCAAUCCUUCUCAAACACUUCCAAAAAAUUGAAGAAGAAAGAAUAUGUCCAAACUAAUUUUACAAGGUCAGCAUUACGCCUA
This 5395-nucleotide long non-coding RNA is filed under the name Homo sapiens (human). Its description in RNAcentral is "HSALNT0056917". The record is from RNAcentral. Lineage: Eukaryota; Metazoa; Chordata; Mammalia; Primates; Hominidae.